This 253-nucleotide ribosomal RNA is filed under the name uncultured bacterium. RNAcentral describes it as "partial 16S ribosomal RNA". It matches the Rfam family "Bacterial small subunit ribosomal RNA", at positions 524 to 776 of the family's 1533-position model. The record is from RNAcentral.
UACGUAGGGGGCGAGCGUUGUCCGGAGUUACUGGGCGUAAAGGGCACGCAGGCGGUGCGGCGCGUUUCGCGUGACAGCGGAGGGCUUAACUCUCCGAGGAUGCGAAAGACGGCGGCACUUGAGGGCCAGAGAGGGACACGGAAUUCCGGGUGGAGUGGUGAAAUUCGUAGAUAUUAGGAAGAACACCGGUGGCGAAGGCGGCCCACUGGUCCGGUACUGACGCUGAGGUGCGAAAGCGUGGGGAGCAAACAGG